AUUUUGGCCAUUUGCGGCCGUAGGCUCUGUCCAAAUGGACACCGACUCGGCUCCCGGCAACGCCAUCCGUCUGCAGACUAAACGCAAACAUGUCAGCUGGAAUAAUCUUCUGGGGACAUUCAACAGGCAGUUAAGUGUUCUACACCCAAAUAAUAGCCAUUAGAAUAAUGGCAGGCGUUGGAAGGAGUCUCUCAUAUGGAAUCAUUUAAGAAAUUUAGCUAGUAAAUUGCAGCCCUCAUUAUCAUCUGUUGUGGACAACACUGAAGAAUUUCCAUCACAUUCUGACUGACAUGCACAGUAUAAGCACAAGAUAUAAAUAUAGCCUCCACAUGCCAGCCACUAAUGACGAGUAUGUGUAAAAACAACUUCAAUAAUAUUGGACUUCGUCUUUUAAACCAAUUGCCACAAUAUAUAAAAGAUAUACCGGCACUAUAUAAAUUUAAAAAGACUU
This is a long non-coding RNA of Cryptotermes secundus, 451 nucleotides long. RefSeq lists it as uncharacterized. The transcript is spliced from 3 exons. The record is from RefSeq and is a predicted model, not a curated record. Lineage: Eukaryota; Metazoa; Arthropoda; Insecta; Blattodea; Kalotermitidae.